Molecule: ribosomal RNA, 1285 nt
Filed under: metagenome
Description: bacterial SSU rRNA
Rfam family: Bacterial small subunit ribosomal RNA
Source: RNAcentral
UAGCUAGUUGGUGAGGUAAAGGCUUACCAAGGCGACGAUCUGUAGCGGGUCUGAGAGGAUGAUCCGCCACACUGGAACUGAGACACGGUCCAGACUCCUACGGGAGGCAGCAGUGGGGAAUUUUGGACAAUGGGGGCAACCCUGAUCCAGCCAUGCCGCGUGAGUGAAGAAGGCCUUCGGGUUGUAAAGCUCUUUCGGCCGGGAAGAAAUCGCAUGGGCCAAUACCCUGUGUGGAUGACGGUACCGGAAUAAGAAGCACCGGCUAACUACGUGCCAGCAGCCGCGGUAAUACGUAGGGUGCGAGCGUUAAUCGGAAUUACUGGGCGUAAAGCGUGCGCAGGCGGUUUUGUAAGACAGGCGUGAAAUCCCCGGGCUUAACCUGGGAACUGCGUUUGUGACUGCAAGGCUAGAGUACGGCAGAGGGGGGUAAUUCCACGUGUAGCAGUGAAAUGCGUAGAGAUGUGGAGGAACACCAAUGGCGAAGGCAGCCCCCUGGGUCGAUACUGACGCUCAUGCACGAAAGCGUGGGUAGCAAACAGGAUUAGAUACCCUGGUAGUCCACGCCCUAAACUAUGUCAACUAGGUGUUGGGUGGGUAAAACCAUUUAGUACCGUAGCUAACGCGUGAAGUUGACCGCCUGGGGAGUACGGCCGCAAGGUUAAAACUCAAAGGAAUUGACGGGGACCCGCACAAGCGGUGGAUGAUGUGGAUUAAUUCGAUGCAACGCGAAAAACCUUACCUACCCUUGACAUGCCAGGAACUUGCCAGAGAUGGCUUGGUGCCCGAAAGGGAGCCUGGACACAGGUGCUGCAUGGCUGUCGUCAGCUCGUGUCGUGAGAUGUUGGGUUAAGUCCCGCAACGAGCGCAACCCUUGUCGUUAAUUGCCAUCAUUUAGUUGGGCACUUUAACGAGACUGCCGGUGACAAACCGGAGGAAGGUGGGGAUGACGUCAAGUCCUCAUGGCCCUUAUGGGUAGGGCUUCACACGUCAUACAAUGGUCGGUACAAAGGGUUGCCAAGCCGCGAGGCGGAGCCAAUCCCAGAAAGCCGAUCGUAGUCCGGAUUGCAGGCUGCAACUCGCCUGCAUGAAGUCGGAAUCGCUAGUAAUCGUGGAUCAGCAUGUCACGGUGAAUACGUUCCCGGGUCUUGUACACACCGCCCGUCACACCAUGGGAGCGGGUUCCGCCAGAAGUAGGUAGCCUAACCGCAAGGGGGGCGCUUACCACGGCGGGGUUCGUGACUGGGGUGAAGUCGUAACAAGGUAGCCGUAGGGGAACCUGCGGCUG